AGUAGCGUGGCUCGGUGGAAAGAGCCUGGGCUUUGGAGUCAGAGGCCAUGGGUUCGAAUCCCAGCUCUGCCA
Molecule: transfer RNA, 72 nt
Filed under: Ornithorhynchus anatinus (platypus)
Lineage: Eukaryota; Metazoa; Chordata; Mammalia; Monotremata; Ornithorhynchidae
Rfam family: tRNA
About the family: Transfer RNA (tRNA) molecules are approximately 80 nucleotides in length. Their secondary structure includes four short double-helical elements and three loops (D, anti-codon, and T loops).
Source: Rfam by way of RNAcentral